This 420-nucleotide long non-coding RNA is filed under the name Brassica napus (rape). RNAcentral's name for it is "long non-coding RNA (BNAP_LNC003172)". Lineage: Eukaryota; Viridiplantae; Streptophyta; Magnoliopsida; Brassicales; Brassicaceae. The record is from RNAcentral.
GUUUGAGGAUUGAAUGUGAUGAUUGUAUUGAUUGGGGGUUAUUGUAUAUGAGGUUGAUAUAUAUAUAUAUAUAUUUGGGAGAUGUAUUAAGUUAGAAAAAGGCUUAAAGCCUAUGUGUGCCGGUGUAAUGUGAUGGAAUGACAUAUAUGUAUGUCUCGGGCGUUACAUCGUUUCUUGUUGGGUCAUGUGGCAAUCAUUUGAGUUGGCAUGAUUCAUCGCCGGAGUGGGCAUGCGGUGUGACUGUAAAUGAAGUAACGUAGAAGCGUGAUCUCGUGGAGACAACGUGGAACGUAUGAACAUGGUGGUGGAUUAAGCGUGAACCGAUUUUGGUAACUUGAUUGCGUGAAGGCAUGAGGACAGCGUCAUGUCGUGGAGACAACACAAUAUGAAGAGUUCUCACGCGACAACAUGAGGUACACG